ACGGAGGAUCCGAGCGUUAUCCGGAUUUAUUGGGUUUAAAGGGAGCGUAGGUGGACUGGUAAGUCAGUUGUGAAAGUUUGCGGCUCAACCGUAAAAUUGCAGUUGAUACUGUCAGUCUUGAGUACAGUAGAGGUGGGCGGAAUUCGUGGUGUAGCGGUGAAAUGCUUAGAUAUCACGAAGAACUCCGAUUGCGAAGGCAGCUCACUGGACUGCAACUGACACUGAUGCUCGAAAGUGUGGGUAUCAAACAG
This 251-nucleotide ribosomal RNA is filed under the name uncultured bacterium. RNAcentral describes it as "partial 16S ribosomal RNA". It matches the Rfam family "Bacterial small subunit ribosomal RNA", at positions 525 to 775 of the family's 1533-position model. The record is from RNAcentral. RNAcentral also lists the same sequence under 1 other name.